GAUGAACGCUGGCGGCGUGCCUAAUACAUGCAAGUCGAGCGAAUGGACGAGAAGCUUGCUUCUCUGAUGUUAGCGGCGGACGGGUGAGUAACACGUGGAUAACCUACCUAUAAGACUGGGAUAACUUCGGGAAACCGGAGCUAAUACCGGAUAAUAUUUUGAACCGCAUGGUUCAAAAGUGAAAGACGGUCUUGCUGUCACUUAUAGAUGGAUCCGCGCUGCAUUAGCUAGUUGGUAAGGUAACGGCUUACCAAGGCAACGAUGCAUAGCCGACCUGAGAGGGUGAUCGGCCACACUGGAACUGAGACACGGUCCAGACUCCUACGGGAGGCAGCAGUAGGGAAUCUUCCGCAAUGGGCGAAAGCCUGACGGAGCAACGCCGCGUGAGUGAUGAAGGUCUUCGGAUCGUAAAACUCUGUUAUUAGGGAAGAACAUAUGUGUAAGUAACUGUGCACAUCUUGACGGUGCCUAAUCAGAAAGCCACGGCUAACUACGUG
This 497-nucleotide ribosomal RNA is filed under the name uncultured bacterium. Its description in RNAcentral is "partial 16S ribosomal RNA". It matches the Rfam family "Bacterial small subunit ribosomal RNA", at positions 28 to 507 of the family's 1533-position model. The record is from RNAcentral.